UGGGGAAUCUUGGACAAUGGGGGCAACCCUGAUCCAGCCAUGCCGCGUGAGCGAUGAAGGCCUUAGGGUUGUAAAGCUCUUUCAGCGGGGAAGAUAAUGACGGUACCCGCAGAAGAAGCCCCGGCCAACUACGUGCCAGCAGCCGCGGUAAUACGUAGGGGGCGAGCGUUGUCCGGAAUUAUUGGGCGUAAAGCGUGCGCAGGCGGUUUUGUAAGUCUGUCGUGAAAUCCCCGGCUCAACCUGGGAAUUGCGAUGGAGACUGCAAGGCUAGAAUCUGGCAGAGGGGGUAGAAUUCCACGUGUAGCAGUGAAAUGCGUAGAGAUGUGGAGGAACACCGAUGGCGAAGGCAGCCCCCUGGGUCAAGAUUGACGCUCAUGCACGAAAGCGUGGGGAGCCAAACAGGAUUAGAUACCC
This 414-nucleotide ribosomal RNA is filed under the name uncultured bacterium. RNAcentral describes it as "bacterial SSU rRNA". It matches the Rfam family "Bacterial small subunit ribosomal RNA", at positions 355 to 787 of the family's 1533-position model. The record is from RNAcentral.